AACCAGCACCUCAAGUGGUCAGGAGGAUUAUUGGGCCUAAAGCAUCCGUAGCCUGUUCUAUAAGUUUGCGGUUAAAUCUAUACGCUCAACGUAUAGGCUGCUGUAAAUACUGUAGAACUAGGGAGUGGGAGAGGUAGACGGUACUCGGUAGGAAGGGGUAAAAUCCUUUGAUCUAUCGACGACCACCUGUGGCGAAGGCGGUCUACCAGAACACGUUCGACGGUGAGGGAUGAAAGCUGGGGGAGCAAACCGG
This 253-nucleotide ribosomal RNA is filed under the name uncultured archaeon. RNAcentral's name for it is "partial 16S ribosomal RNA". It matches the Rfam family "Archaeal small subunit ribosomal RNA", at positions 474 to 727 of the family's 1478-position model. The record is from RNAcentral.